This 253-nucleotide ribosomal RNA is filed under the name uncultured bacterium. RNAcentral's name for it is "partial 16S ribosomal RNA". It matches the Rfam family "Bacterial small subunit ribosomal RNA", at positions 524 to 776 of the family's 1533-position model. The record is from RNAcentral.
UACGAAGGGGGCUAGCGUUGUUCGGAAUUACUGGGCGUAAAGCGCGCGCAGGCGGUCCUUCAAGUCAGAGGUGAAAGCCCAGGGCUCAACCCUGGAACUGCCUUUGAAACUGGAGGACUUGAGUACGGGAGAGGUGAGUGGAAUUCCGAGUGUAGAGGUGAAAUUCGUAGAUAUUCGGAAGAACACCAGUGGCGAAGGCGGCUCACUGGCCCGGUACUGACGCUGAGGUGCGAAAGCGUGGGGAGCAAACAGG